GAAAUGCGAUACGUAGUGUGAAUUGCAGAAUUCUGUGAACCAUCGAAUUUUUGAACGCAUAUUGCGCUCGAGCCUACUGGCAAGAGCACGCCUGCCUCAGGGUCAUGAACACCUCAAGCCACACCUCUUUUGGUUGGCAUGGAUCUGGCGGUCUCACCGAAAACGUGUGUCCGCUGAAGUGUAGAAGGCUUGUGCAACCGCCCACCUAGUGGGUAGUCGUAAUCACAUUGGUAAUUAGCCAUCGGCUAAAGAGAUGUGGUGCCGACAUGGGAGCGCGUAUGCCUAUGCAGGUUACACCUUCUUCAUUUGACCUGAGUUCAGACGAGACUACCCGCUGAAUUUAA
RNAcentral lists this unclassified non-coding RNA (344 nucleotides) under uncultured fungus. Its description in RNAcentral is "sequence contains ITS1". The stretch from base 1 to 105 matches the Rfam family "5.8S ribosomal RNA", at positions 50 to 154 of the family's 154-position model. Lineage: Eukaryota; Fungi. The record is from RNAcentral.